CCCCGUCGGGCUCCGCCGCGCCCCCAGGUGAGUGACUGGCUGCGCGAGGGCUCGAGCUGGGCCACCUUCGGGGACCCAGGCCUCUGGGAACGCUCCCCUCUGGGCCAGGUGCGUAGGGGGCGGAAGGGCAGGCAGCGCAGGUGGAGCAGCGCGGGCGGGAGCCGACCAGGCGCUUCCUCUGCCCCUGUAGCCCCCAAAGUCCGAGGCGCCGCGGAGGAGGGGCCGGGCUGGGUACAGGCAGGGUGGCCCCGGCCCAGGAGCCUGGCGGCCGGAGUGCGGAUUGCUCAUCUGAGAAUCUGGGAAUCCGGAAUGAACUAGAAGGGAACGGAGGCGCUGCCCUGGCCGAGUCGCUGCCCCGCGCGCCCUCCUAGAGCACCGAAGUCCUGCCCGGCCACGGGACCGGGAGCUGCCGCAGCGUCAGCCUGAGCCCGGAGCAGGGCUUGCGCCCGCGGUGCGGGGGGUCUCUCCGCCGCCCCGCUAGGCUCCUGCCGUGCCCUCCCUGCCCUUUGUUGUGUAAUGAGACCUGUGGCGGCUCCACUGAGACCCACACGUGCAACUCCACGCCUCUGCGUUAAAGGAGGCGAAACGCAGCGGCCCUGAGAACCCCCGAGACCCCGGUGUCUUAGCAGAGGCGCCUCGGAUGCGGAGGGGCGCGGGGUCGGCGCUACCCCAGAGGAAAAGCCCAGCGGAGCCAGGCUUGGCCGCAGCCGGCAGCGGCGGUGUGCGCCGGGCCUUCUGCCUUGGAUCCUCCGCAGUCGGCACUGCUUGCCUGCUCGGAUUCGAACCCCGAUGCGGCUCCCAGGGGUCCAGGGUGCCCAGUCCUACAGCCAGCUCGCCGCCACCGGAGCCCCUGCCGGAGGAAGCGCUCCCUAGUCGCCGCUGCGGCUGUUUCUGGCAAAAGGAGGCGCUGCAAGGCUCGGAGCUCCUGGAGCUUCCAGUCUAUGGCGUGAGUGAAGCAGGAAGGUGUCUCCUCCAUCAGACCUGGAGCUUCCAGCUCACUGUCUCCAAAACCCCAGAACCUGGCCCAAGGCUGGGCUGCGCUCUGUCCUUAGUGAAAGAAUGGAUGAGUCACAACUGAAUGAAGAGAGCUGAGCGAGUAGGUUUCCCUCAGGGCUCCCCAGGCAGUUUCAGCCCAGGGGAAGACCCAGGGAGACGAAGGCGACCUUGCAGGCUGUGGCGGGUCUGGAGGCAGCAGCCCGGGGCAGGGACUGUGCUGAGUGCCUGAGGCCGAGCCACCCCUCUGUAAGCUUCAUCAUCCAUCAGGUCUCAGAGGGCUGCCCUGUGUUCAGUGAGCUGCCAGCACCGUGUGAUGAAGACACAGCAGUGGGCAGCUGCCCAGCCCCUUUGCGCUGUGUUUGAAAAAAGAAGCUGGCUUGUUCAGGGGUUCCCAGCAGGAUGGGGGAGGCGGCAGGGACCAUGGCAGAGCAGAGCGAGAGUUCUAGAAGAGAAGCUGGUCCUUCCACAGGCUCCCUGGCCUGGGUGCUGCGCCAGACAGGGUGCUGGGCAUUGCCCUGCUCAUUUCCCACCCCUGGGUUGCAGCUGGGAACUGUGUGGCCUUCAUAGUCCUGUGAGGUGGGUGCUGUGCUGUGCCCACCUUACAGAUGAGAAAACUGAUGCUCAGAGGCUUGAGUGACCUAGUCAAGGACCUGUCCUUACAGGCAGAUUCGGGACUCAGGGAAGAGCUCCCCGACCACAAAGCCCCAGGGGACUCGCGCUGCAGGGCUGCCACCCUCCAAGGUGUGCAGGGUGGCAGAGAUUCAUCUGCAGAGACAUCUCUGCCUGGGACCCUUUCCUGGGGCUCCUAAGGUGCUAGGAGUGCGAGCGCCAUGAGAGCCCACUGCAGUCAUGCCACCCAGAGGGUACUCUGGCCUCUCGGUCACCUAUGUGCUUCUGACAAUGACCAGGGUCCAGAAUGACUCAGCCAUUGGAGUCUGGAUUUCCUGAGCCCGCCUCUCACUGGUAGGUCCUGAGCCCCCUUCCUUCCCAGCACCCACUCUUAGAGCAGUUAUCCAGGACUGCGCUGCAGCUACUGAGGCCAGGGAGAGACCCUGUGCUCUGGCCAGAGGCUUUGGGGGCUCAGUUAGGACUAACGCACCAAGCGAGUUGUGCUGAGUGUUGAGGCUUCUUCUGGGAAGGUAUUUUCAAUCACCAAAUAUGCCAUUAAAAAAAUACGUGUCAGUAACGUGUGCACUAAGCCUGGACCACAUGGGACAUUGUCGUUCCAAUAAACACGAAUAAGCCAGUUUUCACAUUAGAGAAAUAACAGUUUCUUGUAGAAAUGUGGUGCUUUUGAAAGAGGUUAAUUAAUAAACAGCAGAUAAUUGUUCGUGGCACAUUGUGGCGGAGGGUAAUUUUCAUUUUAGACGAUGGAAGGGCCAAAUACCCCUCCCCACUUAGCAUUUUUCUGUAAUAAUCACCUCGGCUUCACCUCCGCCUUUCAUUUUUACAGCUGGAGCUGCUUAUCACUGCUCCAACUUUCACUAAAAAGGAAAAACUAUCAUUUAAACAAAGCUAUCGAAAACCCAGCAUCAUUUGUGGACUUUUUAACAUAAAUAAAUCAUACAAACUAAGAUUUAUGUUCAUGGAAUGAUGUCAUUCAUUGAAGGCCGCCUUCCCAGUCACAUUCAUGUUCAGUGAUUUUGCUUUGAUGGGUUCGCUUUUUGCUAAGUAGGAAAAACCCGUUCAGUCGUCCCUGCUGCUGUCUUUCCUCACUCUGGCCCCGGACAUCAGAACGGUUUCUCCCCGGGCCAGUCCACAGAGCCAAGUCCAAAUGGUGAAAAUGGUUUUGAACUCCAUAGACUGCUUUUAAACCAUAAGUCUGAGAUUAAGACUGUUGAAACUUCCCUAAGAAUUUGUACAAGCCUCAGCAGAAGCUUAUCAUCCUCCCAGGUCUCCCAGAACCUGGAGUGAGUCUCACUGCAGAUGACGCAUCUGCAGAAGCUUCACCAAAUUGAAAUGUGAGGAGCAUUAAAAUCAGCACAUGCUGCAUAUCCAUGCAAUAGAAUAUUAUGUCACCAUGGAAAGGAAUGAAGAUCUGACACUUGCUGCAUGAAUGAACCUUGAAAACAUGAUGCUCCAUGAAAGAAGUCAGUCAUAGAAGGUCACACAUUGUGUGAUUCCAUUUCUUUGAGAUGGGCAGGAUGGGCCAGUCCACACAGACUGAGGCAGGUUAGUGGUUGCCUGGCUGUGGCAGUAGAGGCGGUGGCACCCGGGGCCGGUGAAGACACCAGAGCAGAUGGGCUACACCAGAGUCCAGCUCCAACCCACCAGGCAUUGACAGGAGACCAUUAGCUGAAAGCCAGUGGGACGUCAGGCUUACUAAUAGGGGCAGGUGUCCACCAGGCUGCAGUGAAGCUUCCAUUUGUCCAUGCAAUGCGCUUCAUGCUUGCUAUGUGCCAGGGACAGCCAUAGGCCCUGAGGCUGCCACAGUGACAGACACAGACACUGCUCCCAUCAAGCUCAUGUUUUCAUGGGGAAAGCAGCAAUAAGCAAAAUACAUCAGGGUCUGAUGUGCCAGGCUAGAUGAUUUUAGUGCAAUGGACACAAAGGAGGAGAGAGGUAAAGGCACAAAUUUCAAUCGGUUGUUCAAGAAAGGCCUCACUGAGGUGAUGACAUUUGGGCAGAGACAUGAGGGAGUGAUGAGGAGCCAUCCGAGUGUCUGGGGGAACAGCAGUGGGGCAGAGGGAACAGCCAGUGUGAAGGCCCUGAGGCUCCAGUGACCAGUGUGGCUGAUGCAGAAGGACAGGGAGGGGAGGAGGUGAAACCAUGUAGAGUCAGUGGGAGGACAAAUUAAGGAAUUAAAGUUGCACUCUCUGCUGACUUUAAAGUAGGGAGAUGAUUCUGGAUUAUCUGAGUGGGCUUAAUGUCCUCAUUCUCCUGCCUCUCUCUUCUACUUUUAAGGGUCACAAGGCUCCGAAAGUGGACGAGGGAGACAGGGGAGUCAGGGUCAGGAUGGAGAGGAGAAAUGUGAGAAUAUGAGUAAGAUUCCUCUGGCUGUGCUGGCUCUGAAGACAGAGGAAGGGGCCGUGAGCCACAGUAUUUGAAUACAGACUGUAGAAGCUAAAAAAAAAAAAAAGGCAAAUAAAUGGAUUUUAGAGCCUCCAGUAAGGGAGGCAGUGCUGCCCAUGCCUCGACUUUAAGACCCUGAGAUCCAUUUUAGACCUCUGCCCCACAAAACCAAAAUCUAGUAAGUAUGUGCUAUUUGAAGCUGCUAAGUUUGUAGUAAUUUGUUAGAGCAGCCACCAGAAAUUAGUAUGUGGAGGAAAUGGGGAUUUCAUCUGUCCAUGGUCAAGACAUUCAGGGUGUGGUAAGAAUCUGAGCCUGCCUCACCUAUGUGAGAAUGAGAGAGUGAUGACCACAGAACAGUGGUGAUGGCCGUCCACAUAUCUGGCUCCUUAGCCACUCAUGCCAAUAUGGACCGGCUACCUUCUAUGUCCUGCCCACGGCCAUUCUCUAGGGAAAUUCCUUUGCAUCUCCUGCUACCUUUACAGACUACAUAUCUUGUUGGAUUACUUUCUCAUUUUCGUGAAGCAUAUCUUCUGGAAAAUUCUAAUAAAAGAUGCAUAGGAGAUACAUAUUUUAGGACUUCUGCAGUACCAGAAGGAUAGUUGAGCUGGGUAUAGAAAAUGCUUUGUUAGUGGUUCCUACUCUCUGUUUUCUUUCUUCUUUAUUUUUGGAACUUGAUACUUAUAUGAGCUUUCUGCUGCCCAUUUAAUCUGUGUGUCCUCCAAUCGGCUUUGUUCUGUCUGUUUCGCUAUGUCUUUCCUGAGGCCUCUGCUCAUCCUGUGCUUUCUGCUCGUGAUGAGGAGCUGACUAGAAGAUCUGAAAGUAAGAAAGGAGAGGUACAUUGUCCUUGAGACUCAUGGAUGGGGGUGAUCCUGAGAACCUUGGAUGCCAGUUAUCUUUAGGAACCAACCUGAUUACCAGAGAAGUUACCCAAGGAGUGAGUGAGGGGUCUGCUUGCCAGCCUUCUUAGAGUCAACAUGGAGUUGAAGGCAGGGGUCUUUGAAGUCAGCUGCCUGAAUUCUGGGAAAUAAACUUCUGGACUUUUGCUGGCUUUGGGGAGGAGUCGUCACUCAGGGAAGAUAAGGAGGGGAUAGGAAUCUAACCGGGUCAUAGGCCCCUUUCACUCUAGCCUUUCUGAUCAUAGCCACCCUUGCACCCCAAAUCCUAGAGGUACUCUUACAUCCAGCCCUCAGUGUUGGAGUUUCCCUUGGUUACAAAGCUGGUAAAACAUCACCUUCCUGCUCUCUAGUCAGGACUUUCUCUUGUCUCUGACCCAGUUGCCACAGGUCCAGGUCCAUCAGCAAUUCAGCUUUCAGAAAGGAGGCCCACCCUCAUGGGUAGAUGCCUUUUAAAAUCUCUUUAUUGUGGUUGAAGUGGAGCUUACAGAGGGGACACCAUUGAAUGGGUGUGUGUUCAAUUUGCCAUCUUAACCCAGAGGCUUUUGUAGCUAUUUUAGAAACACUAUAUCCGUUCUUAGGUCCAGGCCUGAUACCACACCCAGUGUCCACACGCAGGAUCUCUGAUUCCACAGGGUUCUUUGGGUCCUGAUCAGUGAUCUUUCUAGAGCCUCUCCCAUGACCUGCUUCUGGCCACAAAAACAGCUAACAAAUGCAAUUUGUGUUGCCUACAAAGGAAUGUUGCAUAGGCAGUGAACAUAGUGACAAGAGUGCAUGCUUAUCACGAUUCUGACAGGUCCACCUUUAAGAGUGUCAGCUGAAAUAUUAACAGUGGUUUUCCCUUGGCGAUGCAAUCUGAGAAUAUUAAAACUUUUUUUCUCUGUUUCUCUACGUUUUAAUUUUUGUCUACUGACUAUAUAUUAGUGGUAGAAGUGUUACAAUGUUUAAAAAUGAGAACAUCAAGAAAUUAGCCCACCAUGGUGGUGGUGUGUUCCUGUGGUCCCAGUUACUCAGGAGGCUGAGGCAGGAGGAUCUCUUGAGCUCAGGAGGUGGAGGUUGCAGUGAGCCAAGAUCUCACCACUG
RNAcentral lists this long non-coding RNA (5984 nucleotides) under Saimiri boliviensis boliviensis (Bolivian squirrel monkey). RNAcentral describes it as "lncRNA (ENSSBOG00000036508.1)". Lineage: Eukaryota; Metazoa; Chordata; Mammalia; Primates; Cebidae. The record is from RNAcentral.